RNAcentral lists this ribosomal RNA (133 nucleotides) under uncultured bacterium. RNAcentral's name for it is "partial 16S ribosomal RNA". The record is from RNAcentral.
GUGGUACCAUCAGGGCGAACAGCUGUUAACUGAUCGCUUUUUUUCCCACUUGACAGAGCUUUACGACUCGAAAGCCUUCUUCACUCACGCGGCGUUGCUGCGUCAGGGUUUCCCCCAUUGCGCAAAAUUCCUC